Long non-coding RNA from Alosa alosa (allis shad), 2573 nucleotides. RefSeq lists it as uncharacterized. NCBI's taxonomy places the organism in Eukaryota, Metazoa, Chordata, Actinopteri, Clupeiformes, Clupeidae. The transcript is spliced from 2 exons. The record is from RefSeq and is a predicted model, not a curated record.
CAGCCUUGUGACAUGUUUGGCACAAGACACUACCCCCUGAGUUGGAUGCUAAGAUACAAAGUUUAGUCGAGUAUCCCCGGAUGCUCUGAUCUUUGCAUCUUGUGUGAUAAAGCGAAGAUGGUCUUUAUUGGUUUUACUACAAGAAACCACAAACGGAAUAUACCUACCUCUCUCUUGUUACUACCGAAGCCAAGUAGAGAAACUUUACCCUACAAAGGAAUACCCAAGCUUAUGAUAUAUCCUGAGGUCUGAAGGUCACCUUACUACCACAUUACUACUGAUCAUGGGGGAACAAUAUGCCAGGUGAGAAAUGAACACUCUGUUAAAAUGGACACAAUAUGUUUUCAAAUCAUCACACUCUUUGAAAGAGAGGGACUGUACGGACAUGUAACUCUCCAGCAGGUGGAAAAGGACAAAUGAUUAAUAGCCUGUUAGAUCCUUAGGGGGCAUUUCAGACCAGUUGAGUCUUGUACUUGUGUGAUUUUUGUAAUGCCAUGACACAAUGAACCUGCUGUAAUUUACCAUGUGUUACAUAAAGUGACUGAAUGAACAUUGGAGUAAAAUAUACACCAUUUGUCAUGACUGUCAGUUGGCCUAUCCACAACAGUCUCUUUCCCCCCCAAUUUUUGGUCAAAUGUAGUGUUAUUGAAGAAAAAAACAAAUCUAUUUUUCACUAACACAAAAAAUGGUUACCCUAUUUUUUGUGUAGUUACCAUUUACUCUGUGGUGACCUUGUACUUGUACUUUCUGACAUUCAGCAGUUACAUUUCAACCACAGAUUUGAAGUUAAUUUAGUAGAUAGUCCGAUUUUUUGAUUGCCUUGCUGAUAUCACAAGCACACGUGGCGACUUCCCUCGUGCAACCAAGAUUAUAAGAAUGUGACCUACUUAAAGCACAUUUAAUGAGUGCCUGACUCGUGGCCUGAAACUGUCACCCUUGCAUUAGAGACUUUUUCAAGUGUUCUAUCACACUCUUAAAGUAAAGUAAAUCUAUUUAUACAACACCAGAUGGUAUAUCAACAUUGUUGGUAGAAAACUGUCACUGGGUUGUUGACGUCCAUAAAUGGGCAAAAUUCUCUUGGGAAAAGUUGCGAAAGUGCAUUGAUUGGAAAUAGAGCUUCUGAGUCUUGCUAUUUUGCCAGAGUGACACCUGUUAAGCACAACACAAAUGCAACAUAUGAAACAUGUGGCAAAAGUAAGGAUUAACAUAAUGAUUUAAAACUCUCUGUUUAUAUUAGUCAUUUUAUGCCAUUCCCUUUUGAGCACGUUCUUCCAUAACUCUAGUGUUAAUGGAAAGCCCCCAGUACUCCAGCUGUCAUCCAACAAAUGUAAAAUGGGCUCGAAACAUUUACAGCUGUCAGUUGUCAGCUAGGCAGUAUACUGCCUGGCUGUGAAACGAUCUGAGUUAUGAGUGACAUUGACAAGCCCUAUGUAUGAUGUUCCCUGUGUAGGAGAACUCUGGGGCAAGCACUGCCGUUUAUUGAUACACAGCACAGCUAUUAAAUAAAUUGCCCUGUUAAAUGACCCUGACAGAGAAUUCCUUUCAAGUGCAGUGAUUUACUGAGAUAAUUUGGUUGAAUCACUGUCCACUUAAAACUGACCAUCAGACAUGGAAAGAUGUUGAUCUUUAUUCAUCAUGUAUUGAUACAUUUUUCUAUAUGCUGCUUAAUUUAUUUGAUAGUAAUUUGAACACUGCCUAAAUGUAUUGUAGAUUUGUGGCACUGCAGUCUAUAGGUUGGACAGUGAGCUACACUUUAUAUAUCGACUCCCAUGAGUGUUUCCUCUAUUUCUAAAAAAAUGCACAUGGUUAGUCGGUGCCUCCCCAAUCGAGGCUUCCUUUUUGACCAAACAUGGAUGAAAUGUAUUUGCAUAUGGAAACUUUUCCACUGCCACGCAAACAUGAGGUGGCACAUGCCAAGCAGUCUCUCACCUUUCCCCCUGGCAUGGCUCUCGUAAGGUGGCAAUUGGCCUUUGAGUCCAUGGUGAGACUGGGCACUGGUCAGGACACGUCAAGAUCAGAAACAACCCGUUCUAUUUAAGGCGCCCACUUUACCCUCCUGACACCGUAGGCAUCUGGCCUAUGUAUAAUCCACCCGCAUGCCUGCCAACACCCAGCAGCCUCGCACAGCCUGCCAAGAGUGGGCAUUCAGGGCUUCCCAACAAUGUAUCACAAGAUACUGCCAUGGCGACCAUUACUUUUUGAAUGUCUGACCAUAUGGUGAGAAGUUGGCUUUUCACAUUUACGCACCUCGUGCCUUGACGUCUUACUGGAGAGCUUCUGUGACUCUUGACAUGACGACACAAACUUUGUCAGCAUCAGUAUUAAGUAAAUAAAUAAAUCAGUAACAGCAUUAUAUAACCAUGGGGAUCAGUUUGAUAUAACCAUGUUUAUAAGGAAGCAUUCAUGUCCGAAUGUAGGUUCAUUUGACUUUUAGGAGAUUGUUGAAUGAAGAAAUAAAGCCAACAAAGCCAUCUUUUCAAAAGAAGUUGAUAAAAAGCUAAUGACUCAAUGUUUCCAUCUGUGUGGGCAUCACUUGUCUUUCAGGUCAAAUAAAUGAGAGUUUUACCCUCUAA